UACGUAGGGUGCGAGCGUUGUCCGGAAUUAUUGGGCGUAAAGGGCUCGUAGGCGGUUUGUCACGUCGGGAGUGAAAACUCGGGGCUCAACCCCGAGCCUGCUUCCGAUACGGGCAGACUAGAGGUAUGCAGGGGAGAAUGGAAUUCCUGGUGUAGCGGUGAAAUGCGCAGAUAUCAGGAGGAACACCGGUGGCGAAGGCGGGUCUCUGGGCCGUUACUGACGCUGAGGAGCGAAAGCGUGGGGAGCGAACAGG
This 253-nucleotide ribosomal RNA is filed under the name uncultured bacterium. RNAcentral describes it as "partial 16S ribosomal RNA". It matches the Rfam family "Bacterial small subunit ribosomal RNA", at positions 524 to 776 of the family's 1533-position model. The record is from RNAcentral.